This 430-nucleotide ribosomal RNA is filed under the name uncultured bacterium. RNAcentral describes it as "bacterial SSU rRNA". It matches the Rfam family "Bacterial small subunit ribosomal RNA", at positions 354 to 796 of the family's 1533-position model. The record is from RNAcentral.
GUGGGGAAUAUUGCACAAUGGGCGGAAGCCUGAUGCAGCAACGCCGCGUGCGGGAUGACGGCCUUCGGGUUGUAAACCGCUUUCACCCAUGACGAAGCGCGAGUGACGGUAGUGGGGGAAGAAGCACCGGCCAACUACGUGCCAGCAGCCGCGGUGAUACGUAGGGUGCGAGCGUUGUCCGGAAUUAUUGGGCGUAAAGAGCUUGUAGGCGGUUGAUCGCGUCGAUAGUGAAAUCCCGGGGCUCAACCUCGGGCUUGCUGUCGAUACGGGUUGACUUGAGGAAGGUAGGGGAGAAUGGAACUCCCGGUGGAGCGGUGGAAUGCGCAGAUAUCGGGAAGAACACCGGUGGCGAAGGCGGUUCUCUGGACCUUUCCUGACGCUGAGAAGCGAAAGCGUGGGGAGCAAACAGGCUUAGAAACCCCAGUAGUCC